UGGGCGUAAGCGCGCGCAGGCGGUUUCUUAAGUCUGAUGUGAAAGCCCACGGCUCUACCGUGGAGGGUCAUUGGAAACUGGGGAACUUGAGUGCCCAAGAGAAAAGCGGAAUUCCACGUGUAGCGGUGAAAUGCGUAGAGAUGUGGAGGAACACCAGUGGCGAAGGCGGCUUUUUGGUCUGUAACUGACGCUGAGGCGCGAAAGCGUGGGGAGCAAACAGGAUUAGAUACCCUGGUAGUCCACGCCGUAAACGAUGAGUGCUAAGUGUUAGAGGGUUUCCGCCCUUUAGUGCUGCAGCUAACGCAUUAAGCACUCCGCCUGGGGAGUACGGUCGCAAGACUGAAACUCAAAGGAAUUGACGGGGGCCCGCACAAGCGGUGGAGCAUGUGGUUUAAUUCGUUGUUACGCGAAGAACCUUACCAGGUCUU
RNAcentral lists this ribosomal RNA (428 nucleotides) under Priestia flexa. RNAcentral describes it as "bacterial SSU rRNA". It matches the Rfam family "Bacterial small subunit ribosomal RNA", at positions 555 to 982 of the family's 1533-position model. Lineage: Bacteria; Bacillati; Bacillota; Bacilli; Caryophanales; Bacillaceae. The record is from RNAcentral.